GUAGUUAAAAUAUUUAGAUUGGGGAUGCACCGAAUCCAGGAUUCGGCUUCUGCUGAAUAUUGGGUUUUUUGACGGGUUCAGUUUCUGCCAAACCC
Molecule: long non-coding RNA, 95 nt
Organism: Etheostoma cragini (Arkansas darter)
Lineage: Eukaryota; Metazoa; Chordata; Actinopteri; Perciformes; Percidae
Exons: 4
Source: RefSeq, a predicted model, not a curated record